Molecule: ribosomal RNA, 253 nt
Filed under: uncultured bacterium
Lineage: Bacteria
Description: partial 16S ribosomal RNA
Rfam family: Bacterial small subunit ribosomal RNA
Source: RNAcentral
UACGUAGGGACCAAGCGUUGUUCGGAUUUACUGGGCGUAAAGGGCGCGUAGGCGGCGUGGUAAGUCACUUGUGAAAUCUCUGAGCUUAACUCAGAACGGUCAAGUGAUACUGCUGUGCUAGAGUGCGGAAGGGGCAAUCGGAAUUCUUGGUGUAGCGGUGAAAUGCGCAGAUAUCAGGAGGAACACCGAUGGCGAAGGCAGGUCACUGGGCCGCAACUGACGCUGAGGAGCGAAAGCAUGGGGAGCGAACAGG